UCACAUUAGCACGGUGACACUACGCCUGCGAUACUACACUUGCUCUAUGCUAGUAGCGGAACAACUCGUAGCAGCGGAAUACUUCUAGCAGCGGAACAACGACGAAGGUGGUGAACUCCACUCCGCAGGGACUCUGGCUGGGACACGAUCUAGCUCGCACGAAUGGAAACCAUGACAAACAAUCAAUCACGACAUCACCUGCAAUCUGGCAUGACACACCAGGUCAGUACAUUGAAUGUACUUGCAAGCUCACAACAACCAAGAGCAUCAAGGCAAGACAACAACAUAGAAUUAGCAGAUUAAAUUAUCCACAACUACUAUGAUACGAAAGCAACUAAUAAGCAUGAUAUGAAACUACUACAAUACUGAUAAUCCAAUAUCUCAAUCUCAACAACCAUCUCACUCUUGGCUAACCGGCCAAGCAAUAUACCAUCUCGAUCACCUCAUGAUCCACCUGAUCACCUCGUGAUCAAAACAUCCACAUGAUCACCUCACAACCUAAAUGAUCAUCCUUGAGAUCAUCUCCAUAUCAUCAUCUGCAUUGUGCCAAACUGUUACUGCUCACAAUAUCAACAUAUAAGUCACCUAUAAGUCAUUCCUUCAUGUGAGCGUUGAUCGGACGGUGUGACCUAGUACGAACUUAUGCCCAUGACCGAGGACGUGACUAUCGAUAGAUUAAACACACACUCUGCAAAGGUAGCGCACUUUACCCGAACCACAGAACCCAUGGCCUCACAUUCCCUUUCGGAUGGACCAACGGCGUUCCGACAAAACCGAUCUACUGCCAUGGCACUCUCCCGGCCACUCCGACCAACUCCCCUUUGGGCUAAGUCAUGGGUGGCCCCGUGCCUACCAAAGGCAUCAACAGCCACCGUCGUGGCAAAACAAAAACGGUCCCAAACGGGGACAAGAGAUCUCAAUACCAACCAUGGGCACACAAGGUUAUGUCGGCUUAUCGGGCCAGGGUACCGCACGCCCAUAACCUUCCCUUGUUGGAGGCACCAACGAGAGGCACGACAAUAGACCGCAUUAGGGCCUUCCCAUAACGGGCAAAUAUGGUUGCACUGGAAAAGCUCGGUUCGAUGGCACCUGACCAACUUAAUGACAUAAUUUGUCCCCGAGAUAUAACAGUGAUAACUGAUACUCCGAUAUCAUCUACCAACCUGUAAUCCAAGUCAUAGCAAUAUCCAACAACUAAUCCAAAGCAUACUAGCGUCACACCAAAAUACUCCGGGGAUAGCAUAACACUAUUAUGAUGAAUCCAAGAACGAUAAUACUACUACUCCAAUAGCAAGAACAAGCUAUCCAGCUAAGAUCCACAUGCAAACAUCAUCUCUGAAAUCAUACUCCCAAAACAUAAUAUAACUAUCAUCAACAUUAAUACUAGCCACUAAUAACCCAAAGGCAACAAGACAUCCAAAGUAAUACUCCAAAAUAUCAUACCAGAUACCAUCAUGAAAGUAAGCAUAACAUAAGCCACUAAAAAUCCAAUGGCAACAUGUCACCCACACAAGCUGCAAAAUAUUAGUCUCAGAACUCCAAGCAAUAUCAUGGCAAUAGCAAGAUCAAACAAUACUCCAAGAAAUACCAUGAACAAAUCACAAGUAGCUAAAAAAAAUUAAACAAGUUCAAAUAAUUUAAACCAUGUCACUGCAUUGCAAUCAUGCAAAUGGAGGGUGUGGCUUGCCUGGGGUGGAUGGAUUCAUCGGG
RNAcentral lists this long non-coding RNA (1710 nucleotides) under Triticum aestivum (bread wheat). RNAcentral describes it as "long non-coding RNA (TAES_LNC001250)". The record is from RNAcentral. Lineage: Eukaryota; Viridiplantae; Streptophyta; Magnoliopsida; Poales; Poaceae.